CAGUCGCCGCGGUAAAACGUAGGGUGCAAGCGUUAAUCGGAAUUACUGGGCGUAAAGCGUGCGCAGGCGGUUAUAUAAGACAGAUGUGAAAUCCCCGGGCUCAACCCGGGAACUGCAUUUGUGACUGUAUAGCUAGAGUACGGCAGAGGGGGAUGGAAUUCCGCGUGUAGCAGUGAAAUGCGUAGAUAUGCGGAGGAACACCGAUGGCGAAGGCAAUCCCCUGGGCCUGUACUGACGCUCAUGCACGAAAGCGUGGGGAGCAAACAGGAUUAGAUACCCCCGUAGUCCCUGUCUCUUAUAC
Molecule: ribosomal RNA, 301 nt
Filed under: uncultured bacterium
Lineage: Bacteria
Description: partial 16S ribosomal RNA
Rfam family: Bacterial small subunit ribosomal RNA
Source: RNAcentral